CGGAAGCUGGCAAUUCUGAGAACUGGAAGCUAUGGUCCCUAUCAAGUCUGAAAAGAAAAUUGCACAGAAUUGCACUGUUAAUGGAGCCCAACCCAUUUCACAGGGCAAGUGAGGAAAAUAGAAGAAAGAAGGAAUAUUAUGCAUAUUCACCACCUUGAAUUAUUGAUAAAAAUACUAAAGAGAAGGAAAGAAAACUGAACAGCACAACAAAUGUGGGAAAGAAGAAUGAAUGGAUUGACGAAAAGAAGACAAAGAAACAUAUGGUUAGAUGUUAAUGAAAUCCUCUAAAACAGAAGGACGAGAAGCUUAAAGAACAGACAAUGAAGCCGUGGACAGAUGUGAUGGAAGUGAAGGCAUUUGCAAGGAUAGAAAAUCAGAUUGCAAGUACUUUGUUGUGGAAGAAGCCCGGGCUUAUCUACACCACUUCUUUUGCUGUGCUAUUUCCCAGUUCUGAAGCCAUUUAGCCUGUCCCCUUAAAUUUUGUUGUCCCCAGAGCUGCAACCUUACCAGAAUUGUCUAAAAACACUACUGACUUUGGAACGUUGGGCACUGAAGUCCGUACAUCUGGAGGGAGCCUGUAUUGUAAAACCUAGCUUAUGGCAGUGCGUAUCCAUCGAAAGAUCGUAACUCUGUCAUGAAGACUGGAAUACCUAAGAGAGAAAAUGAAAAAUUUGCAUCAUACAUUAAAUUAUAUGAUGCAUCAAGGAGUGUUAAUCCAAGAUUAAUAUAAGGGAGACCAAGGCAGUUUUAUUUGAUAGAGAAAAUGGAAUGAGCAAUUGUAAAUUAUAUGAUAACUAAAGUGGGGAAAUGGAUAUGUAGAAAUUUAAAGGUGUGCCAAUGUUGCUAGAAAGGCAGUGAGCUGUUACAAGAACUGAAUGUCAAAACAGCUGUGUAUUGGAAACAAACAUCAGAUAUGUCAGGAGUAUUACGGUAAAGCAAGAGAUUGGGUCAAGUACAAUUGGGCGCUGAAUAAUGUGCACUGAAUACAAGAAUGGGCAGUAUGAAAAAAGGUUGAUCAUACUGUACAGAGAAAAUAAAUAUAUGAAGAAAGAGUGAAUACAUCAAGAGAAGAAAUAUUGUGAAUAUUGUUGUUGCUUUUUGCUUCCUAAUAAGAUCAGGCAAAAUACAUAUCACUUCAUACAAGCUGUAGGUCAGACAGAAAAUUCAUAUUCCCAUUGCAGGUUACCCCUUCAUCUGCUGGGAUAAAAAUUCAGCUCUUUUUAAAUCUAAGGGAAGCAUUCAAGGAAACUGUAGAUAAAGUUUUCCAUUCAGCAGUCUCAAAAUUAAUAUAACGGAAUCUUUAAGAACUGGAAGGUGCCCCAAUAAUUAAACAUCUAUUUAAAAAAUCUUCUAUUUCUGACAAAAUAGGUAAAAACAUAGCCAGGAAUUACUCUAGCUUUUUCUUAUCUAUCUCUGUGCACAAGUCUUUGUUUCUCUGUACAGAUUAAGGAAUUAUGUGGAAUACCAUUGUUCAAGAAUGCUAAAGAUGUGUGAAAAGAUACUUUUUCUCUUGAGUGUUCUUGGAAACUGUAAUAUUUUGUACUGCAAUCUUGUGAUUUGGCAUAUUCUAGGCAGAGAAUGCUUGCUUCACACCAAACAAUUUUGCGGUCUGCCCAAAAUCUUGUUGCUUACAAAAUAAAUUUUUUUUAGAAUUUUUCUUGUUUUUUGUUUACAUUUGCUGUAUUCCAAGAUACAAAACAGCCCUGUAAUUUAUCAUCCCCAACAAUGAGUGUUUUCAUUUAAAAAAAAUAAAGAAGAAAUAUCAUAUUUUCUUUUCUUUGUUUUAAUUUCUUUGACUGUUUGGGAGCUGCCUAGAG
Molecule: long non-coding RNA, 1817 nt
Organism: Ahaetulla prasina
Lineage: Eukaryota; Metazoa; Chordata; Lepidosauria; Squamata; Colubridae
Exons: 5
Source: RefSeq, a predicted model, not a curated record